AUUGAACGCUGGCGGCAGGCCUAACACAUGCAAGUCGAGCGGAUGAAGGGAGCUUGCUCCUGGAUUCAGCGGCGGACGGGGGAGUAAUGCCUAUGAAUCUGCCUGGUAGUGCGGGAUAACGUCCGGAAACGGGCGCUAAUACCGCAUACGUCCUGAGGGCGAAAGUGGGGGAUCUUCGGACCUCUUGCUCUCAGAUGAGCCUAGGUCGGAUUAGCUAGUUGGUGGGGUAACGGCCUACCAAGGCGACGAUCCGUAACUGGUCUGAGAGGAUGAUCAGUCACACGGGAAGGGAGACACGGUCCAGACUCCUACGGGAGGCAGCAGUGGGGAAUCUUAGGCAAUGGGCGAAAGCCUGAUACAGCCAUGCGGCGUGUGUGAAGAAGGUGCUCGGAUUGUAAAGCAAUUUAAGUUGGGGGGAAGUGCAGUAAGUUAAUACGUUGCGGUAUUGACGGUACCGAGAGAAUAAGCACCGGCUAACUUCGUG
Molecule: ribosomal RNA, 484 nt
Filed under: uncultured bacterium
Lineage: Bacteria
Description: partial 16S ribosomal RNA
Rfam family: Bacterial small subunit ribosomal RNA
Source: RNAcentral